Molecule: transfer RNA, 75 nt
Filed under: Salix viminalis (osier)
Lineage: Eukaryota; Viridiplantae; Streptophyta; Magnoliopsida; Malpighiales; Salicaceae
Rfam family: tRNA
About the family: Transfer RNA (tRNA) molecules are approximately 80 nucleotides in length. Their secondary structure includes four short double-helical elements and three loops (D, anti-codon, and T loops).
Source: RNAcentral
GUCCGGGUGGUGUAGUUGGUUAUCACGCUAGUCUCACCUACACAGAGGUCCCCGGUUCGAACCCGGGCUCGGACA